CAGGUUUACCUGUGUGACUGCGUACCUUUUGUAUAAUGGGUCAGCGACUUAUAUUCUGUAGCAAGGUUAACCGAAUAGGGGAGCCGGAGGGAAACCGAGUCUUAAUUGGGCGUUAAGUUGCAGGGUAUAGACCCGAAACCCGGUGAUCUAGCCAUGGGCAGGUUGAAGGUUGGGUAACACUAACUGGAGGACCGAACCGACUAAUGUUGAAAAAUUAGCGGAUGACCUGUGGCUGGGGGUGAAAGGCCAAUCAAACCGGGAGAUAGCUGGUUCUCCCCGAAAGCUAUUUAGGUAGCGCCUCGUGAAUUCAUCUCCGGGGGUAGAGCACUGUUUCGGCUAGGGGGCCAUCCCGGCUUACCAACCCGAUGCAAACUGCGAAUACCGGAGAAUGUUAUCACGGGAGACACACGGCGGGUGCUAACGUCCGUCGUGAAGAGGGAAACAACCCAGACCGCCAGCUAAGGUCCCAAAGUCAUGGUUAAGUGGGAAACGAUGUGGGAAGGCCCAGACAGCCAGGAUGUUGGCUUAGAAGCAGCCAUCAUUUAAAGAAAGCGUAAUAGCUCACUGGUCGAGUCGGCCUGCGCGGAAGAUGUAACGGGGCUAAACCAUGCACCGAAGCUGCGGCAGCGACGUUUAUGCGUUGUUGGGUAGGGGAGCGUUCU
This 662-nucleotide ribosomal RNA is filed under the name Salmonella enterica subsp. enterica serovar Bovismorbificans. RNAcentral describes it as "partial 23S ribosomal RNA". It matches the Rfam family "Bacterial large subunit ribosomal RNA", at positions 580 to 1242 of the family's 2925-position model. Lineage: Bacteria; Pseudomonadati; Pseudomonadota; Gammaproteobacteria; Enterobacterales; Enterobacteriaceae. The record is from RNAcentral.